Molecule: ribosomal RNA, 431 nt
Filed under: uncultured bacterium
Lineage: Bacteria
Description: partial 16S ribosomal RNA
Rfam family: Bacterial small subunit ribosomal RNA
Source: RNAcentral
AACGAACGCUGGCGGCAGGCCUAACACAUGCAAGUCGAGCGCCCCGCCAGGGGAGCGGCGGACGGGUGAGUACCGCGUGGGAACGGACCCUUUGCUACGGAAUAGCCUCGGGAAACGGGGAGGAAUACCGGAUGGGUCCUUCGGGAGAAAGAUUGAUCGGCAAGGGAUCGGCCCGCGUUGGAUUAGGUAGUUGGUGGGGUAAUGGCCUACCAAGCCGACGAUCCAUAGCUGGUUUGAGAGGAUGAUCAGGCACCCUGGGACUGAGACACGGCCCGGACUCCUCCGGGAGGCAGCAGUGGGGAAUCUUAGACACCGGGCGCAAGCAUGAGCUAGCCAUGCCGCGUGAGCGAUGAAGGCGUUAGGGUUGUAAAGCUCUUUCAGGGGGGAAGAUAAUGACUGUACCCCCAGAAGAAGCCCCGGCUAACUCCGUG